AGGACGAACGCUGGCGGCGUGCUUAACACAUGCAAGUCAAGGGGGCCCAGCAAUGGGCAACCGGCGAACGGGUGCGUAACACGUGAGCAACCUACCGAAAUGUGGGGGAUAGCCGGCCUAACGGCCGAGUAAUACCGCAUACGCUCUCGAUGAGGCAUUUCAUUGAGAGGAAACCUACGGGACAUUUCGAGGGGCUCGCGGCCUAUCAGCUAGUUGGCGAGGUAACGGCUCACCAAGGCAACGACGGGUAGCUGGUCUGAGAGGAUGGUCAGCCACAUUGGGACUGAGAUACGGCCAGACUCCUACGGGAGCAGCAGUGGGAAUCUUGCGCAAGUGGCCUAACGGCUGACGCAGCGACGCCGCGUGUGGAUGAAGCUCGUCGGAGUAGUAAACCGACUGUUCGCCCGGACG
Molecule: ribosomal RNA, 411 nt
Filed under: uncultured soil bacterium
Lineage: Bacteria
Description: bacterial SSU rRNA
Rfam family: Bacterial small subunit ribosomal RNA
Source: RNAcentral